UUCCAAUGAUGAAUGAUGUAUUGUCCGUACCAUCUGAAAGGUUUAAACCUUGUAUGACUAGUACUUGCAUUCAGUUUCUGAGGUAU
This 86-nucleotide small nucleolar RNA is filed under the name Helianthus annuus (common sunflower). Its description in RNAcentral is "small nucleolar RNA snoR117". It matches the Rfam family "small nucleolar RNA snoR117". The record is from RNAcentral. Lineage: Eukaryota; Viridiplantae; Streptophyta; Magnoliopsida; Asterales; Asteraceae. RNAcentral also lists the same sequence under 1 other name.